GACCCUGUGAAAACUCACCCUAGUCCUAGAUUAAUCGAUUUAGGUACUAUUAGUCUAACAUAUGAACUCAAUUGAAAUUGUAAAAAAUAAAUGUUUAAUAUGUUGCGUCAGAUUUCUCAUCUGUUGUAAAUUAUCAAUCAGAUUAGGUAACAAUAGAUUACGAAUCUAAUGUAAAUUAUCAAACAAAUUAAGUCAUCCGUUGCUACAGAUUAC
RNAcentral lists this long non-coding RNA (213 nucleotides) under Capsicum annuum. RNAcentral's name for it is "long non-coding RNA (CANN_LNC007306)". The record is from RNAcentral. Lineage: Eukaryota; Viridiplantae; Streptophyta; Magnoliopsida; Solanales; Solanaceae.